This 2402-nucleotide long non-coding RNA is filed under the name Marmota monax (woodchuck). Lineage: Eukaryota; Metazoa; Chordata; Mammalia; Rodentia; Sciuridae. The record is from RNAcentral.
AAUUGACUAAAACAGAAAUUGGUACCAGAAGUGGGGUUGAUGCAGUGACUAAUCUGAUCAUAUGGUUCAGAAGCUUUUGGAGCUUUAUGGAAUUUGCAGGAGGAGUUUUGAGAUGCUUAGUCAUUCAACUGGAAAUGCUUUAGAUUGCUGUAAAUUGAGCUUAAUGGCAGAUUCUGGUGGGAGCUCAGAAGACCAGAAUGUCAAUAGGACUGCAGACAGUGAAGACAGGGCUCCAGAAGGUUCAGAGAAGGACUUUAUUGGAAAUUGGACUAGAGGCCAUUCAUGUUAUGUUCUGGCUGAGAUGUUGUCUGCAUUUUUCCCAUAUCCUGAGACUUUCUAUGAGGCUGAUUUUGAAGUAACGGACUUCUUAAUCUGGAAGGAGAAAUUUCUAGGCAACAUAGCAUUCAGGCAGUGCCAUGAAUGACGCUGGUGGCUUUUAACCAAGUUUAUUGUGUUAUUCAGGAGUAGAAAGACUUGAAAAACUUGGACUUCAAAGGUGGGAGCAAAACUGGGGCUAAGGAAAUUGCAAUUAUUAAAGACAUUAUUGCCACUAAAGAAAUUCUAAAGACUUUGCCCAGAGGCAAUAAGAAAGAUGGCUUGAGGCCAUCUCAGGAGCUGGCAAGACCAUACCCAUCUCAAACUCAAGAGAGUAAAGGUGAACAUUUUCUUGAAAAGAGACCAGUAGGGUACCCUUCUCACACAAGGGGGCCUAUGAAGGUUUUUCAACAUGCUCAGCUACCCAGGCACUCAGAGGCUGCUGCAGCUAGUAUCCCUGGAGGCUUGGCUACUGCCGGAGAUGGCAGCAGACCUUGACAUAAACCAUGUGGUACUAGUUCUUCAGGAAUGAAGGGUGCUGGGGGCUUCCACCAUGAUUUCAAAGGAAGUCCUGGGAAGUCAGGCAAAGUGCAGCAGGGUCAGAGUCCCUGCAGGUACCCCCUGAGAGGGCAGUCGUGGAGAUGUGAAGAGGAAGCUGAAGUUGCAAUGGAGACCCCAAAAUUAAGAAAUGCCAGUAAUGUAGGACAUCAUCCAAGGAAAGCUACAGCAAUUGGGCAGAGACAAGCCAACAUAGAGGCCAAGUGGGCUGCAACCAACAAGGCCACAGGGACAGAUCUAUACAAGCCCUUUGGACAGAACAUCAUGAUGCCAUGAGCUCCGGAUGCCAGUGAGCUACAGGACUUGUCUGCCCAGCUGGGUUUUGCUCUGUUUUGGUCUCAGCAUCCUUCUUUCUAUGCCCCCAUUUUUCUGAAUGGAAAUGUUUACUCUUUAUCUUCACAACUGGAUACUUGUAAAUUGUUUUUGAUUUUUACAGAACUCACAGCUGAGUUUGCCCUUAGUCCCAAGGAAACUCUGGACUUGAACUUUGGGGCAAUCUUGGAACUGUUUGGGGAUCUUGGAAUGGACUAAAUGUAUUUUGCAUUGUGAGAAGGUCACGAGCUUUUGGAGGUAAAAUGUGACGGCUUGAAUUUGAGGUGUCCCCCAAAAGCUUUUAUGUGAAACAACGCAAGGUUUAGAGGAGACAUGAUUGGGUUAUGAGAGCCCAAACCAAAUCCGUGCAUUAAUCCUCUGCUGGAUUAACUGAGGGAUAAUUGAAGGCGUGUUGGGUGUGACUGGAGGAGGUGGGCACUGGGGUGGGUGUAUAUUUUGUAUCUGGUAAGUGGAGACUUUCUGUUCAUCACAUAAGCCACUCCCUCCACCACACUCUUCUGCUAGAAUGUUCCCUCAAGUCCCAAGGAAUAGAGCCUGCUAUCUGUGGACUAGGACCUCUAAAGACGUGGACCCCAAAAUAAACUUUUCCUCCUCUAAAAUUGUUCUUGUUGGGUCUUUUAGUCACAGAAGCAAAAAAAGCUGACUAAAACAGCUACCACUUUAGAAAGGGGAGGAAAUACAGAUUUCCCAUAUAUUUGCUUAUAUUUUAAGAAGAAAAAGAAUGAUAAGAAUAGAAAAGGGCAGCGGAGCACAACAGACACUAGUAUGGCAAUUUGUAAAUCAAUGGAUGUGUAACUGAUGUGAAUCUGCAAUCUGUGUAUGGGGUGAAGGUGGGAGUUCAUAACCCACUAGAAUCAAAGUGUGGAAUAUGAUAUGUCAAGAAAUUCGUAAUGUUUUGAACAACCCACAAUAAAAAAUUAAAAAAAAAAAAAAAAAAAAAAAAAAAAAAAAGAAUAGAAAAGGCAGAGAGGAUGGGAUAGAAGAAACAGUCAUAGAAUCUAGAUUUCUUGAAUAUAUUUUUGGUAAAUUUGACUUUACAACCAUACUAAUAUUUUGCAAAAUUAUAAAGCAGAACUAAAUGUUAAAAAAAAAAAACUAAAAACCUAUCCCCCAAAUCCAAAGUAAAAUGAAAAAAAUAAAAUGAACUCAAAUUUAUAUUCCUUUGAUGGCAUAAUGUCAUAGAGAAAAACAAUUCC